ACUGGAAGCGCAGCUGCCCCGGAUGUGGGUCCUGUGUACUCAGCUUUUGAGAGGGGGGGGAAAACCAAUCUCGCCAAUUAAAUGCGAGGUGAGUCGCACGCUCACUGAGUAUAAACUGUGGAGAGCAUCAAUGAAGCAUCAGUGGUCCCCGACUCCGUGGGCCCUCCCUGCCUUCGAGGAGCCGUCCCAGGGGCCACCUCCUUCGCAUGAGAGACCGGACCCUGUGGCGCCUGAACUUAGAGACAGGGACCACUGAGGACACACACACCACACUGGCGUGAGAAUGCCCACCCCGGAGCCCCGGUACUGUAUAAAAAUCUCUCCGGAAUUUUUGCUCGCAGGGUGCCUCGGAGCCCGACGGAGACGUGCUUCCUUAUCCAAAUAUUGACGCGGAGCCCUCCGUUGACUGAGUGUUUCCCUGGGAGAGCUUCGUGUGGUAAUGCCCCUGCAUCCCAUUUCACACAUUUGUUCUGACUCCUGGCACCAGGAAGCCCCUCAUUGUUCCCGUCGUUGCUUACUGGGCCAGAGACAUUUUUCCCUGUUAGUGACAGACAGAGUGGUUUCCUUUCUAGAGUUCUCAUGGGAGUUUCUUGCCAUGUGCUCGGCACACACCAAAAAAGGCCUCCUGUUGGCAGGUCUCCGCUUUCUGGUUCUUUCCCUGCUGCCUCUUCAAGACCAUCUUAACAAUGCCGCCCCUAAUUGAGUGCUACGAGGGGGAAGGACCUGGGGCGGGGGCGAAGUCUUGCAACGUUCCGGCCCGUUCUAACUGGCGUCCUUACACCUGCUGCAGAAACGCCUUGAGGAUGCACGUGGGGAAUCCCGAACCGCUUUUGAUGUGCACCAGCCAGGCUGUGGGGCUUUUCUGAGCACUUAGUCUUCCGGGUACUGCAUGCACAUACCUCAGACGCCCCCUCCCCACCCCAGCAAUUCUCUGAUUGUACAGCUGACCGUUUUUACAGCACUCCUUCUGCCUGGGUCUGGAAGCAUUUGGCUUUGCAGGGCUGGUUAUCAUGCUUUCUGUGUUGGAACAGACCUAUUUCACUGAAUCCUACACUCGAGUAGGAGGCAGAUAAGAAUUGCGACGGGAACGCUGCGCCUCGCCGUGUGCGGUAGAUGUUAUAAAACUGUGCGAAUCCAGACGGGUCCCUGGCCUCUUCUGUGGAACACCUAUGGAGUCUCACGCUUUCCAGAUGGACCCGGGUAUUGCUUGAUGCUAAUCAACUGCGGAAGGAUCAGCUGGAAAGACUGCAGGGCGGCAGAAAGGACAAAGGAAGAGGCUUCAACAACAGCUUUCAUUUAGGCCCCCGCUUUUUAAUGUGCUCUGGUGUUUUGCCUGCAUGUAUGUCUAUGUGCUACAUUUUUCCAGUACCCAGAGGCCAGAAAAACAGGUGUUGAAUUCCGUGGACUGGAGUUACAGACAUAUGUGAGCUACCAUGUAGGCCCUAGGAAUUGAACUGUGUCCUCUGGAAGAGCAGCCAACGCUCUUGACUGCUGAGCCAGUUUUCUAGGCUGUGUGCGUGUGUGGUGUGGUGGGUGUGGUGUGUGUGUGUGUGUUCAUGUAUGUUCUGGCACAUGUGUGUGUGGGGGGGUGCAAGCUUGUGGUGGUCAGACCAUAACUUGAGGUAUCACUCUUCAGGCAUCAUCACUUUUUUUUGAGAUGGGGAUCCAUCACUGACCCGGCGCUCACCAGGUAAAGCAGGCGGGCCAGCUAGCAAGCCAGGGGGCUCCACUUUUUCUGCUUCUCCAGUGCUAUGAUUACAAGCACAUGUCAACAUCCUUUUCCUUUUCUCUUUUGGUGUGGGUUCUGUGUGACAAACUCAGGUCCUCAGGCGUGGCAAGGAUGUUACUAACUAGGCUUACUCCCCAGUCCCCGUCUUCUCUCCUUGACAUUUUCCCUCAAAAAACGCUAGUUACUUUUAAAUUCCAGUUUCCUCACAGAAACUCUCUGGGAGUGAAGGUUUAAACUACCACGAUUCUGGGCAGGUUGGACUUAUUUAUCCCGUGGGCUGUGAAUGAUUAAUCCUUGGAGGACCACAGUGGUUAAUACGGACAUGAGAGUCAGUGAACCCCAGAUAAGUAGGCCUGACCUUAGCAUCCAGCCCACCUUCCUAGCCCAGGGAAUGGGGUGUCUGGGACUUCAGGGAUAUGUCAGGCUAGGAGCACAGGGACACUGGGGGAGGGCCAAGGGAAGACUUAGUGUUUCCUAGUGACAGCAGUAGCCCUGGAGCCUCCUUCACUGUCCCCUCCCCCAUUUCUCCACCCCAGACCCAAACAAUGCAUCUCUCUCCUGGCAGUGGUAUAGCCGCCUCAUCCUGCCAGAGUGCAAGUGUCCAUGCCACUGUCUUUCCCGUCUGGUGCGUUCCUUUGCAAGACACACUCCAGGUACGAUUGGCUUCUGGUUCACUUCCUGUGACUCAGUUACAUAUGGAUGCAAAAAUUAUAAUAAUGACGCUUGUCUCCAGAUAAUGAGGUAUGAGCUCGUAUUUCUCAUAGAGGAGAUGUUAUACAAAUGCACUGUAUCAUUACUGCUAAAACAAAAAAAAAUCCAUGACUGGAGAAAUUAAAUUUCCUGGAAUGUUUUCUAUCUCACAGGAAUGUUAGUAAUCCUCUGUAUUUACUGCUAAACGAGGUGGACUACAAGAAAGAGGAUGUUUAAAAGGCAGGGGGAGUUCAGUGGGAACAAUUAACAAAUGGGAAGAUUGCAAGCCCUGCUGGCUGCGGGGAGGAGACUCGGUAAACAUGCAACAGGAAACCAUGUUUGAUUUCUGCAGGGAAGGUUUAACGAACAACAGAUUCAAGCAGGGCCUUCAAAGAAGUUUCUGCACUUGUUUACCCUCUGAAACGCAGCCUAAGAGGACAUUAUGCCUCGAUUUAACGGUGGUGUCACGGGACAGCUUACCCAGUUCUGCGGUGAGCUCUCUGACCUGGGCGUACAGAACACGAAAGGAUUUGUUAAAAAGCUGGGAAGGAAAAUGCAAGUCUUUAGGGGUGGGACUUAAGACUGACGCAUCUUUAAUAAUUUCUCAAGCUUGGUUCCCUUCAUUGUUUCACGAGUUUUCCAAACAGCAUCAAAUUGAGGCAAAUUUCCACUAAUUCAUUCCAUGAACUUUGCCAACGCACUGGGAAUGUCAAUUUUCUAUACUUGUUUCUACCUCCAAUUUUACCACAAGGCAUCAAUCUCUGGCCUGGUGAAGAACUGGCAUUUGGGAAAUUCGUUGUCUUUCCAGAGGUAGGAGUACACAUUCACCAAUGUUCCUCCCUGUGUCGUCUGGGCUAUCAGCCUAAGAAGAUCCCCUACCCAGCCUGGCCCUUCUUCACCAGAAUCGAGUGCAACCUGUGAUCUUCACCUGGGUGAUGGCUAUCAUUACCCACAGUGCUUCAGCCUAUGACUUAGUCUUCUGACUUCUGAAGAGAUGGUGGGGAGGGGAACAGAGUGAAGAGAGAGAGGAGUGUGCUCAGACAGCCAGGCCUGCCGGCCUCUGGAAAGCAUCCGUGUUUCCAGGCCAGGACACAGCCCUCUCAGAGCCACACUGGCCUCUCUCUGGCCAUUUUCAACAGAGGUGCUGCUUGCUGUCUGUGAAUGGCUUGCUUGGACCUGGUGCCAAUGGUUCUGCUUAUGGAUCCAGGUCCCUCCUCCAGCAAAGAAGAGGUUCACUCGCUCCCUCGGCGGCGGCUGUUUAUUCAUUCAAUACCCCAAGUCUAGAGGGAAGUUCCAAGGCAUGUGCACACAGCUAAGACUUGCCCCCGACUUAGCCAAGAAUUACCACUUUGCAGAGUCUGCCACAGACCCCACUUCCCAGUGAUAAACUGAUAGCGGUUUGAAUCCUUCCCACACAUGCUCUGUGCUCUCUCUGUAUACGUGCGUUUGUGUGCAAUGUGUGUGUGCGAAAAGUGCGUGCAUGUGACAUGCGUAUGUGUGAAAUGUAUGUGAGAUGUGUGUGCACAAAAUGUGUGUGCUCAAAGUGUGUGUGAAAUGUGUAUGUGAAAUGUGUGUGCAAAAUCUGUGUGUGAAAUGUGUGUGCUCAGAAUCCUGUGUCACAGAACUCACAGAAACAAUGUGUGCAGCCUUCCUUUUAUACUCCAUUACAGCCUAGAAGCAGUGCUGCUGGAUCAAAGGUGUACAGGUACUCCCCACCACAUACACACUUUAUGUGUUAUUAUUUAGUUUCUCUUUAUGGGGGAGCCAUUGCUUUCAAUACCCCUUAGGUAUAUCCACAUUCCUGCCUUCCUAUCUUCUCAUUGGCUGGCAGGAUAAUUGUGAAACCGUUGUCUUAGUUUGUAUCAUGGAAUAUUGCUUGAAGAUGUGAUAUAUUAUUUUAUGCUGUGGAAUAUCUGCUUAAUGAGGCAAAGAUGUGUUGCAUUCUUUUAUGUUGCAUUUGUUUAACUCUGUGAAGCUGUGUUACUUUGACCGCCUAAAACACCUGAUUGGUCUAAUAAAGAGUUGAAUGGCCAAUAGCUAGGCAGGAGAAAAGAUAGGUGGGGCUGACAAGCAGAAUAGAUAGGAGGAGAAAUCUAGGAAGAGAGGAUUAAAGAGCAAGAGCAGGAGGGGGGGGCAGACACCCAGCCACCCAGCUAGACACGGAAUAAGAAGGAAAGAAAAAGAUAUACAGAACUAGAGGAAGGUGGCCCCAGUAACUAAUUGCUGCUAGCUUCACAGAGUGACUGAAGAGCUCCUCAACGGGAAAACUAGUUCCCUCUGCAGCCUGCUUGAAGUCGUCCUCACUGAUGUCAGCUCCAAUCUCUGGUUCCCUUACAGACUCUUUUAAAGGCUCUUUUUCAAAGGGUUAAUUUGAGGAGAGUAACAUCUGCAAGGCUCCUUCCCCGGGCAUGCCAAGCUGAGCUGUGAUGAAUGGCUUCUCCUACAAAGGGGCAAAGUUGCUUGGCUCUACAGAGGAUCUUCGGUACUGGGGAGACUCCACCGUGCCCACAGCAGACAGUGUGGGAGUCCAGGAAUCAGUCUUCCCAAACGGCUGGUGUCCUAUGUUCAAUGUCUUCUCAUACUCCCCUCAAACGCCUCCACCCACGGAGGCCUCACCUGAAACGCUGCAGCUCAUGUAUCUCGUGCAUACAUCAUAUCAUCUGGGUGUGUGACUUCUGGGUGGGACACUGUCCUCUCUGAUGAUGACGACUUUGCAUCUCUCAUUGUUAUUCCAUUGGAGAAGGAAAGAGAGAAUUUUCUAGACUAGAAGAUGAACUGAGUUCUUUUCCGUAUUAAAUUAUUUAUAUGAUACAACACAAAGUCAGAACCCUUGAGGAUUCCAGAAAUAAGAACUAUCAUAUUUCAGCACAAUACUUAACUGUAUUUGCCAUUUUUACCCUAAAUUUAAGUCAUUUCUUUCAUGGAUGAUCAAUUAUAUAGAACAGAACCUUUUAAGUCUUAUAGCUCCUGAUCUUGCUAAAAGCACACUAAAAUAUUAGGUUGCCUUCCUUUUAAUUUUAGAUUUAUUUAUUUUAUGUAUAUGAGUGUUUUGCUCACAUGUAUGUCUGAAGGUGGGGUCUAAAUGGGUUCAUAGACCCAAGAUAAAUGGUAAAUAGGUAUUUAUUAGGGAAACACUUACAUAGAGUAAAUAACCUCCACGGCCUUCCUGCUCCAGAAGAUGCAGUCUCUGCCCUUCCCAUGCUCCCUACGACCCAAGAGAGCAUGAGCCAGCCCCUCCUCUACCCUAUAAUGGGUCACGUCUGCACCUGAAAUCACGCCCAAAGGGUGUGACCACCACUCCACGUUCACUGGCAAGGCAAGAUGCCACUACCUAUGUCUGUGUAACAUGUGUGUCCUGGAACUGGAGUCAAGGGUGUCUUGCGGUGCUGGGAGUCAAACUCAGAGCCUCUGCAAGAGCAAGCGUUCUUAACCACUGAGCCACCCCUCCAGCCUCCUUUUAGCUUUUAAUUAAUCUACCAACGGACUGAUGCAACACUGAAUACUUAUUCUCUCUCCAAACAUAUUACUAACAUGAACUUUAUAUCCCAACAGCAUUCUGAUGAAACUCUGAUAUCCCUACAUUUUAUAGGGACAAGUAAAAGACAUUUUCCUAGUACAAUAAAUAUGAACAAAUUUUAAGGAGACUUAAAAAAUCUACAUUCAGGUUCAGUGGAUAAAGGUGCUUGCCACUAAGCCUGACAAUCUAAAGCUCGGGCCUCUGAGACCCCAUGUAGUAGAAAAGGUGAGCUGAUCCCUGACCUCCAUUUAUGCCAUGACAGGUGCAGCCCGCACAUAUGAACACAUGCGAAAUAAAUAAACACAGAUGUAAUUUUUUAAAUGUC
This is a long non-coding RNA of Mesocricetus auratus (golden hamster), 6261 nucleotides long. RefSeq lists it as uncharacterized. NCBI's taxonomy places the organism in Eukaryota, Metazoa, Chordata, Mammalia, Rodentia, Cricetidae. The transcript has 2 exons. The record is from RefSeq and is a predicted model, not a curated record.